AUGCCGAGACGUCGGACAAGAGCAGCAACCUCGUCGACAUUCACGUCCCCAGCGAGAAGCGCGAGUACACAACAACCCUCAAAGGGGUUGAGCUCCACGGCAACAAACGCUGGAGAUCGUCUGCACCAGCGUACCAGAAAAGGCCGACGAGGUGAUCUCCAGGCUCUGGAGGAAGCUUGGCGGCAGGAGUCGUAG
Molecule: ribosomal RNA, 195 nt
Filed under: Triticum aestivum (bread wheat)
Lineage: Eukaryota; Viridiplantae; Streptophyta; Magnoliopsida; Poales; Poaceae
Description: partial small subunit ribosomal RNA
Source: RNAcentral